This 838-nucleotide small RNA is filed under the name Epicoccum sorghinum. RNAcentral's name for it is "eukaryotic LSU rRNA". It matches the Rfam family "Eukaryotic large subunit ribosomal RNA", at positions 50 to 906 of the family's 3401-position model. The record is from RNAcentral. Lineage: Eukaryota; Fungi; Ascomycota; Dothideomycetes; Pleosporales; Didymellaceae.
GCGGAGGAAAAGAAACCAACAGGGAUUGCCCUAGUAACGGCGAGUGAAGCGGCAACAGCUCAAAUUUGAAAUCUGGCGUCUUUGGCGUCCGAGUUGUAAUUUGCAGAGGGCGCUUUGGCAUUGGCAGCGGUCCAAGUUCCUUGGAACAGGACGUCACAGAGGGUGAGAAUCCCGUACGUGGUCGCUAGCCUUUACCGUGUAAAGCCCCUUCGACGAGUCGAGUUGUUUGGGAAUGCAGCUCUAAAUGGGAGGUAAAUUUCUUCUAAAGCUAAAUACUGGCCAGAGACCGAUAGCGCACAAGUAGAGUGAUCGAAAGAUGAAAAGCACUUUGGAAAGAGAGUUAAAAAGCACGUGAAAUUGUUGAAAGGGAAGCGCUUGCAGCCAGACUUGCCUGUAGUUGCUCAUCCGGGUUUUUACCCGGUGCACUCUUCUACGGGCAGGCCAGCAUCAGUUUGGGCGGUUGGAUAAAGGUCUCUGUCAUGUACCUCCUCUCGGGGAGAACUUAUAGGGGAGACGACAUGCAACCAGCCCGGACUGAGGUCCGCGCAUCUGCUAGGAUGCUGGCGUAAUGGCUGUAAGCGGCCCGUCUUGAAACACGGACCAAGGAGUCUAACAUCUAUGCGAGUGUUUGGGUGUCAAGCCCGAGCGCGUAAUGAAAGUGAACGGAGGUGGGAACCUUUCGGGGUGCACCAUCGACCGAUCCUGAUGUCUUCGGAUGGAUUUGAGUAAGAGCAUAGCUGUUGGGACCCGAAAGAUGGUGAACUAUGCUUGAAUAGGGUGAAGCCAGAGGAAACUCUGGUGGAGGCUCGCAGCGGUUCUGACGUGCAAAUCGAUCGUC